AUGAGUGUUUCUUUAUAUCAUGCAGGUGCAACCGUAUAAUCUGGUUAGGGAAAGGUAUAAAGCAACUCUUUUACAAGCGGUCCAAAUUAAAGACUAUCUGAUUAAAGGCCUGUAAGCUCGAUGUUCUAGGUAGAAGUUGAAAUAUUUGAUCCAAAGCCUCCUCAAUUCUCACACCAUCGUUGUACAACUAGAAAGGAAAAUACAAGACUAUCCGGAAAUGGACUGAUUGGGAAGGUGGUUGCUAUCCACUUACAAUUAACUUCAGUGAAGAUUAUCCGAGUAAACCGCCAAAGUGUAAAUUCCUAGCAGGCUUUUUCCAUCCAAAUGUCUAUCCGUCUGGAACAGUGUGCUUGUCGAUCCUCAAUGAAGAUAGUCUUUGUUUCACUUUUACAUUGUGGAGGCAAAAAAGAGUCAUCUUCUUUCAUCCUUCUGCUUAGUCUUUGGUUGAGGGAUUAAAAGAUGAAGUUGAAAUGAAGAGUAAGGAGAAAAGAGACUUCGAAGAGCAUAAAGUUGAAAUCGAGAAAAGAGUAUCUGAGCUAAACUUGAAGAUUGACAAGCUCUAAUAGACUAUUGACGAACAUGAGAAACUGAAAAAGACUGAACGAGCUCUUAAACUUGCUGAGGUGCUCUUGAUAUUACAGAAUAGCUUCAAAAGUUCUGAAGCCACUUCUAAGAUGAAGGAGCUCAUGGAGGUAAAUGUUCUGGCUUCCUAUAUCUUAUCAUGUGAAUUCAGGAUUAUGAUUACUUUUGGUAGGACGUUCCACCUCAAUUUUGCAGCUAGCAGCAGAAAUGAUCUUCUGUGGGCUUACGACACACUACUCACACAGUGCAACAAGUUCAAUACAUACGCUUAAUUUGUUUUGCACCUAGGUUCCAACAGCCUACUGAUGUUAUUUGAGAAUAGUUCUGGAAACUUCUUAUCUGCCGUCUCUACUCAUCCCAGAAACUUCCAUUGAUUGAGGAAUAACUUGGAACGUUGAUUACUGAUGAUCCCUCAGUGAUUGAAAGAUCUCUUGAAAAUUGUGGAGAGAUUGUCCCACUGUACUUCACAAACAUUGUUGACGGAUACUACUAAUAUAAUAGUAAUACUAAUACAAAAGUCACUAAGAAAUGAGUAGUGGAACUUUUGAUAAUUCAGUUAUAGCCUUUAUUUAUAAUUUUGCAAAUCAUAUUUUCUCAAUUUUUUUUCAAUCUCUAUAUGGUGUUGUAUUUAUGAGUUCUAUCAGGUUUCUUCUAUUUCUCUUGAUCUAUCGCAUUGUUUCUUGGUAAUGAGAAUUUGUUGGGUACUUGUUAGUCUUUCUACUGUUUUAAUAGUUUCAUGAUGCAUUUUGUUCUUACAUGCCUGUAGUUGUGUCUUUUAAGUUUGAAAACAAGCACAUACACAUCUCUAACUUUAUUGUUUUUGAUGUCUUUACUGACAGUUUUUCAGUGGAUGCCAAGCUGAGUUACAAGUUACAACUGCAAAAUUAAGAGUGUAGUUGCAGCAUAGCAAGUUCAACAAUGUUACUUUAGAACUUCGUUCCACAAAUAAAUGUACAUAUAACCACCAUAAAAUUACUUUAUUCAGAGUGUUAAAUCUCAUUAAAAUUGGACCAAGAACGAUCUCAUUUGUACAAUGAUACUUGAAAAAUUGCACGGGUCAUCUAGUACUAUAUAUAAGUGAGGAUAAAUUUUUUGGCAGUCCUCACAAUCAAGAUUUUUGUUUCUUUAACAAAUCAUACUGCUACACGUUGCUACUU
Molecule: RNA transcript, 1739 nt
Organism: Capsicum annuum
Lineage: Eukaryota; Viridiplantae; Streptophyta; Magnoliopsida; Solanales; Solanaceae
Exons: 4
Source: RefSeq, a predicted model, not a curated record